ACUUGUGGCCAAACCUCCUUGAUCUCGGUUGAUCUCAGAAACUAAGCAGGGUUGAACCUGGUUAGUACUUGGAUGGGAGACUGCUGAGAAUACCAGGUGCAAAAGUU
Molecule: ribosomal RNA, 107 nt
Filed under: Periophthalmus magnuspinnatus
Lineage: Eukaryota; Metazoa; Chordata; Actinopteri; Gobiiformes; Gobiidae
Source: RNAcentral